GGGGAAUCUUAGACAAUGGGGGAAACCCUGAUCUAGCCAUGCCGCGUGAGUGAUGAAGGCCUUAGGGUUGUAAAGCUCUUUCGCUGGGGAAGAUAAUGACGGUACCCAGUAAAGAAGCCCCGGCUAACUCCGUGCCAGCAGCCGCGGUAAUACGGAGGGGGCUAGCGUUAUUCGGAAUUACUGGGCGUAAAGCGCACGUAGGCGGACCAGAAAGUUAGGGGUGAAAUCCCGGGGCUCAACCUCGGAACUGCCUCUAAAACUCCUGGUCUUGAGUUCGAGAGAGGUGAGUGGAAUUCCGAGUGUAGAGGUGAAAUUCGUAGAUAUUCGGAGGAACACCAGUGGCGAAGGCGGCUCACUGGCUCGAUACUGACGCUGAGGUGCGAAAGCGUGGGGAGCAAAC
This 400-nucleotide ribosomal RNA is filed under the name uncultured bacterium. Its description in RNAcentral is "bacterial SSU rRNA". It matches the Rfam family "Bacterial small subunit ribosomal RNA", at positions 356 to 773 of the family's 1533-position model. The record is from RNAcentral.